AAGGGAUGGAGACAAGACCAGGGGCCUCGUUUAUCAACCAUGCAUAAACCGUGCAUGCAUUGUCCUAUAGACGUUGUGUUUUGGUAUUCUGUACUUGUAUAUUGGUGCCACCUAUUGACAAUGUUCUACACGCAGUUUGAGUGAUUUGACUUGUUCUUAGUUGAUGACGUCAUCAUCGUGCGCCUGGUUCACGCAGGUGCCAUUGCAGGCAUGGCAAUCUUCUCUCUAUUCUAUCUUUAAACAUCUUCUAGAAAUUGACUUUAGAUGGCACGUUUGUUCUACCCUACUUCAGCUGCCUUCAAGUAAAUGAAUAUACUGGAUUCUCCUCGUCAGUGUGGUUAUUUGAGAGGACUUUUAGCUGCUUGCCUUAAGCAAGGUGCUUGAGGUUGACGACAGAGCAGUGCACACACACAUUUCUUUGCACUGAAUGGGAUUGAUCAAGUUUUUCUUGUCCGAGGAUGUGUGCAUAUGUCCUCACACUGCUGACCAUGUGUAUGCAAGAAAUGCUGGUGGUAGAAAAAUGUAACAGCAGGUAAACUGACUGUGUGCAGCUAUAUAAUUAUAUAAUGUGCUGUCUAUCCUAUCAGCAUAUCAGAGAGUAAUUACUGAUUUUGGUGCUCACAAGAUGCAGACAGGUGACACAGGGGGAAUGUAAAGUAAAAUCGUAUAAAAGGAACGCCAACUUUCUCUUGAGAUUCAGUUCAUGGACAGAUGCCCUGACCUUUUCCUUUAGAAUUCGCUGGUAUAAUUCAGAAUUCAUCGUUCCAUCAAUGAUGGCAAGCCGUCCUGGCGCAGAUGCAGCAAAACAGGCCAAAACCGUGAUACUACCACCACCGUGUUUCACAGGUUCUUAAGCUGGAAUGCAGUGUUUUCCUUUCUCCAAACAUAACGCUUCUCAUUUAAACCAAAAAUGUAUAUUUUGGUCUCAUCCGUCCACAAAACAUUUUUCCAAUAGCCUUCUGGCUUGUCCACGUGAUCUUUAGCAAACUGAAGAAGGGCAGCAAUGUUCUUUUUUGGAGAGUGUUGCUUUUCUCCUCGCAACCGUGCCAUGUACACCAUCGUUGUUCAGUGUUCUCCUGAUGGUGGACUCAUAAACAUUAAACAUGAGCCAAUAUGUGAGAGGUCUUUAGGUGCAUAGAAGUUACCCUGGGUUCCUUUGUGAGCUCGUGGACUAUUGUAUGUUCAGUGGUCUUGAAUCCACCCCAUUUGUAGACAAUCUGCCCGAGGUCCUCAGAAAUCUCCUUUGUUCGUGAUGUGAUACACUUCCACAAACAUGUUGUGAAGAUCAGACUCCGAUGGAUCGCUGUUCUUUAAAUAAAACCGAGUGCUCACUCACACCUUGUCAUCCCACUGAUUGAAAACACCUGACUUUAAUUUCACCUUCAAAUGACCUGCUAAUCCUAGAAGCUCACAUACUUUUCCCACUCACAGAUAUGUAAUAUUGUAUCAUUUUCCUCAAUAAAUAAGUGACCAAG
Ictalurus punctatus (channel catfish) is the source of this 1475-nucleotide long non-coding RNA. The record is from Ensembl. Lineage: Eukaryota; Metazoa; Chordata; Actinopteri; Siluriformes; Ictaluridae.